Molecule: ribosomal RNA, 254 nt
Filed under: uncultured bacterium
Lineage: Bacteria
Description: partial 16S ribosomal RNA
Rfam family: Bacterial small subunit ribosomal RNA
Source: RNAcentral
CACGUAGGGGGCGAGCGUUGUCCGGAUUUAUUGGGCGUAAAGAGCUCGUAGGCGGUUUCGUAAGUCGGAUGUGAAAACUCCAGGCUCAACUUGGAGACGCCAUUCGAUACUGCGAUGACUUGAGUCCGGUAGGGGAGUGUGGAAUUCCCGGUGUAGCGGUGAAAUGCGCAGAUAUCUGGAGGAACACCGGUGGCGAAGGCGGCAUCCUGGACCGGUAUUGACGCUGAGGCGCGAAAGCUAGGGGAGCAAACGGG